AAUAUGCUAAUGAGGGGCGGUACCAUGCUAGUGAGGUGAUUCAUUCUCCACCAAUCCCUGGAGGACAAGUAGUGGGGUGAUAGUGGGAUGACAGUGGGGUGAUAGUGGGGUGACCCGUGCCCCGCCAAUCCCUGAAGGAUUAUUAGCAUACUGUUGUGUAUAUAAGGUGAACACUUUUGCCGCUGGAGGUCCCCGUAUCAGCAAUGAAGGUGUCCUGCAAUAAAGGCUGUUGACAAGGAUCUGACGGUGUUGCGUCUUCCUUGCCAGACGAGCUCAGUCUCCAGGUUCACUUUCCAACUGUUGCACAUCCCACAACUCCUUCUCCCCACCCCAUCUCCAAGAGGAAGUUCCCACCCUCACCUCACCCUCACCCCAUCAGACCUUCCUACUUCCUGGGGCCCCUAGUCUCUGAAGAAUUGUUCCUGUGUGAAGAACUUCAGGAACAAAAAUGGGGAAGAGCCUGAGGAAAAGUAGGUCCAGUGACAGACCCAAAGUGGGAUCCAGCUCAGAGGGAGGCCCCAAGGCCUGGCACUAUUACUGAUGCUAUGGUGUGCUUACAAAUAGGGGCCCAUCAUGAAUGCCCUCUGAAGGCCCAACAAGCAGCUGAAAGAGUCAGAUGGCAGAUAUUUACACCGAUAACUACCAAUCAGGCUGUUACUUGUGGAGAGCCUAAUUAAACUGUCAUUAAGACAAGAUUACUACAUCUGGGGAGAUGUGGGAGAUGCAUUUGGGAAGACCUUGAGAGAGGAGUAUUAAAACAACAACAAUAACAACAGCAACAACAACAACCGUAACAGCAGCAGUAACAACAAUAAUAACAGCAACAACUACGGCAACAGCAACAUCAACUGCAACAACCGCAAUAGCAACAACUACAGCAACAGCAACAACAGCAACAACAACAGCACCAGCACCAGCAACAACAACUACAGCAACAUCACCUGAAACAACAGCAAUAGCAACAACUACAGCAACAACAACAGCAACAAGAACAGCACCAGCAACAGCAACAACUACAGCAACAUCACCUGAAACAACAGCAGUAGCAACAACUACAGCAACAACAGCAACAAGAACAGCAACAGCAACAGCAACAACAACUACAGCAACAGCAACAACAACAACAGCAACAACAACAGCAACAACUGCAACAACAGCAAUAGCAACAACUACAGCAACAGCAACAACAACAGCAACAGUAACAACAACUAUAGCAACAGCAACAGCAACAAAUACAGUAACAGCAACAGCAACAGCAUCAGCAACAACAACAACCUCAUUAUCGUUUAGGCAGUACCACAAAGGGAUAGUGACAAGCCAUCUGAAUUCUAAAAUGGAUCAAUUGAUAUAAAAAAUACAAUGAUAUAGACCCAGAGGCUGCAGAAAAUGUCAGCAUGACCCGUAUUUCACAGAGUGCUUACUCUGCACCCAUGGCUAUGUCUAAGGACUUACUUUCUGCAACUGAAUCGUGCUCCUCCACCACUCCACAUGCAUCAGCCAAGAGAAUAGAUACUAUUCUUAUAAGUGAAGAGGACAUUGUACACCAAUCCUUAGAAUAGUUUUAGAAGCUAUUUGGCACGAGAAUAAGCCGAAAGUAGGAUACUUGAACUUUUUUUUUUGAAGUUAAAAAUGGGAUGGAUAAGAGCACGAAGCUUAUAUGCUUAAAGCACUUUCCCCCAAAGAAGAAUCUAUGAAAAGGAAUGAGAAGACAGAGCUCAGCUCCUCACAGAUGUGCCAGUUCAGCUUAUAAGACGAAGGGAUUUUUGAUGACUGAUAUGAGGCUUACAGAACACUUACUGCUUCUUGUGCGUUUGUGGAGGAUUUCUUUGGAACUUAUCUUGAAGCCUAAAAAUAUUUUGCAAGAAAAGCAAAGGGAACUUUCAAGGUCUUCAACAGUCGGGCUUGAGAGAUAUUGGCAUAUACAUAAUGCUUUAGGCAGAGCAUUUGAUAAGUGACAAUAAUUAUUCUUGUAGCCUUACAGAUAAUGAAGAAACUGAAACCACUGAUGUGCAGAUACUUAACAUUAAAUUUUCUUUCAAAAUUGACCUUAUCAAGCAUAGGUUUGGGGAUAUCAUGACCCUUCCCACAUGUUUCUUGGCGAGGUAUGAGGGGAGAUUCAUUUUGUCUGGAAAGGGAUUUGCUCUUAGUAAUAAACUGGCAUAUUUAAUAAUAAUAAUAACAAAAACCCCAUCAGGCUCAAGAAUAAAGAAUUGCUUUCCCUAGAGGGCACCACAGCAUCAUUUCCAUCGAUUUAUUAAUUUUACAAACAAAAGAAACGACGUAUCUAAGUCGGGGUCAUGAAAGUAAGGAUUAUUUUAUAAUUCUCUGCCUUUCCAUAUUUUUUCAAUUCUUUACAGAUGUUGCUCAGCAGAACUGUGUUAAUGUCUUGUACAUCUCACAUCUGCACUCUAAGCUUGUAACUUCUAAGACACAGAAGAUGAGAAAGAUCAAAACCAUCAAGGAGCAUAUCGAAAGGAACUCAAAUUACAUUUCUAUUUACGCUCUGAGCCAGUCAGAAUGAUAGUCCAAUAUUUAUAAUAUCUGAUUUUGCUAUCUGGCACCUGUAAAUUAACUAGGACUAUAUAUUAUAUUGAAACGUUCAGUGGAUGCCCAUGCAGGGUGUCUUAUAUUGCUGGAAAGGGGGUGCAUCUCAUAUGUGAAGUCGGAUGGCUCAGUUGGUAACCUUUGGGAGCUCUUGCUGCCUGGCUUUGACGCCUGGCUCAUAUUUUAGUUUUCUCUGUUGCUUUUUCGUGUUUGGUAGCUCAGAUCUUCAUCUAUGAAAUGUGUAGGUGUAAAAAUAGCAUCUACCUUCAAAACUGCACAGCUUGAGUUGUUAGAAAGUGUCAUGGUGCUGGCACGUAUUUAGUUGUAAGGAAAGGGCCUGACUCAUAAGUGUUGAUAUUAUUAUCAUUGUGAACCAGGCGCCUGUUCCUAAGGAGAUGCAUUGAACAGCUUUGGUGCAAUCCUUUAUGUGUAGAAAUUAUUUUGCUCAGAAGAUUUACAUUCUUUCAAUAAACUAAAAAAAAUAAGAAUAAGCCUCAGCAGGAAUCUCUCUUAGAUCAGCCUCUUUGAGGGUGUUGGAGGACAGAGUGGAUGAAAACAGAAAAAACAUUACAAGGAACUCAAGACCUUAAAGGAAUUAAAAACAUUAAAGAGCAUUGAGAAAUACAUUAAUCUGACACAUGACAGAGUGGCAGCAUUGUGUACCAGGAAAGGGACCAAGUGGAUAGCAUGAAUAAUAAUUAUGCAUUUUAAAGGCUUCAUGUCUUUUAGAAGAGAUGUCAACAAGGAGGAAUAGGUCACGCAACAUUCUAGAGCCUGUCUUAGGAAGAGGGAAAAGAGGGAAAUACAGUUGAAGGAAGAGGAGGAAAAAAAGAAAUAAAGAAUUUGAAUCCAUUUUCAUUCUUUUCCUAAGGGAAAAUUUGAAUAAAAUAUUUAAACAAAAGUAGUAAAAAUCAGCUAUUAUUUUUGCUAUGAAAUAUGUAAGAAUGAGAUGCAAUCUGCCUAGUCUGAAUUACCAAG
Molecule: non-coding RNA, 3522 nt
Organism: Rattus norvegicus (Norway rat)
Lineage: Eukaryota; Metazoa; Chordata; Mammalia; Rodentia; Muridae
Source: RefSeq, a predicted model, not a curated record